Molecule: long non-coding RNA, 491 nt
Organism: Apis mellifera (honey bee)
Lineage: Eukaryota; Metazoa; Arthropoda; Insecta; Hymenoptera; Apidae
Exons: 3
Source: RefSeq, a predicted model, not a curated record
AAAGCAAGAACGAAGGGAAAGUAUCGAAUAUUCAAUAUAUCGCUUGUUUGUAUCGAUAGAUUACACAUCGAUUUUACACAUCGACCGAGUUUCUUAACUCUCUUCUUCAUCGACGCAAGCGCAGAAAGUUGGUUGGAAAUCGAGAAAGUUCACAACGUAUAUCGAUGACGAAAGAUCGUGAAAUAUUUUGAUAAUUGUAUACAGAAGAUUGUUUCACAAUUAUAUUAUAAUAGUGAUUAAAUAACUUGAUUUUAAAUUCUUAUUUAUAGCACAGAAUCAUAGUACUCGUUUACAAUAAAGAAUAAUAUUUAAAAGAAUUUGAAUAUAUUUGAUCCCGAUUAAUGUUCAAAUAUGAACGCGAGUAAAACUAAUUAACAGUUUUCAAGAUAAACAAUGUUUACCAUAAAAGGCAGAACAUGAUGCGGCUUCUGAACACAUAUAGAAAGAUGAAUACAAUUGAAUUGUAAUAUAUUGAAUAUUGAAUGAAAAAU